AACGAACGCUGGCGGCAUGCCUAACACAUGCAAGUCGAACGAGACCUUCGGGUCUAGUGGCGCACGGGUGCGUAACGCGUGGGAACCUGCCCUUAGGUUCGGAAUAACUCCCCGAAAGGGGUGCUAAUACCGGAUAAUGUCUUCGGACCAAAGAUUUAUCGCCUUUGGAUGGGCCCGCGUUGGAUUAGCUAGUUGGUAGGGUAAAAGCCUACCAAGGCGACGAUCCAUAGCUGGUCUGAGAGGACGAUCAGCCACACUGGGACUGAGACACGGCCCAGACUCCUACGGGAGGCAGCAGUGGGGAAUAUUGGACGAUGGGCGAAAGCCUGAUCCAGCAAUGCCGCGUGAGUGAUGAAGGCCUUAGGGUUGUAAAGCUCUUUUACCCGGGAUGAUAAUGACAGUACCGGGAGAAUAAGCUCCGGCUAACUCCGUG
RNAcentral lists this ribosomal RNA (433 nucleotides) under uncultured bacterium. Its description in RNAcentral is "partial 16S ribosomal RNA". It matches the Rfam family "Bacterial small subunit ribosomal RNA", at positions 29 to 507 of the family's 1533-position model. The record is from RNAcentral.